AGGAACUUGCAAUGCUAACUCAAUCCAUAGCAGAAUUUGAUGAUAUGGACAUUGAUAAGUCACCAGGAAAUUGGGAUGACACACCAGCUGCAACUAAAAGAAGGCCUUAUGAUGAUAUUGAGGAUGAUGACAAAAAACAUGUCUUUAAGAAAGGCAAGAAAUCUAAUAUGCAGCCAUCAACCAAGUAAAAAAUUACAACAGAUAUUGGCCAUGCAACAACUAUUUUGAUGCUUACUUCAAAACCACCUUUUGUCGCUUCCUGUGUCCCAGCCAAACACACCAAUAUCCAUACUGCUUUUGUGACAAACACAACUAUAUUCACAAUGCUUUGGAAGUGGCUCUUCUUUUCGUGUAUAUAAUGCCAUCUUCUUACUCUGUUUCUUCACAAGUUGGGUUAUGUGAUAGUUCAAACACUAAAUAUCCCUCUUGCGAAUAUAUUUAUAU
Molecule: long non-coding RNA, 444 nt
Organism: Panicum virgatum (switchgrass)
Lineage: Eukaryota; Viridiplantae; Streptophyta; Magnoliopsida; Poales; Poaceae
Exons: 3
Source: RefSeq, a predicted model, not a curated record